CUCUGUGACUCCUACGGGGAGGCAGCAGUGGGGAAUAUUGCACAAUGGGGGAAACCCUGAUGCAGCCAUGCCGCGUGUGUGAAGAAGGCCUUCGGGUUGUAAAGCACUUUCAGUAGGGAGGAAGGUAGUGUAGUUAACACCUGCAUUAUUUGACGUUACCUACAGAAGAAAGCACCGGCUAACUCCGUGCCAGCAGCCGCGGUAAUACGGGGGGUGCGAGCGUUAAUCGGAAUUACUGGGCGUAAAGCGCAUGCAGGCGGCCUGUUAAGUCAGAUGUGAAAGCCCGGGGCUUAACCUCGGAAUUGCAUUUGAAACUGGCAGGCUAGAGUCUUGUAGAGGGGGGUAGGAAUUUCAGGUGUAGCGGUGAAAUGCGUAGAGAUCUGAAGGAAUACCAGUGGCGAAGGCGGCCCCCUGGACAAAGACUGACGCUCAGAUGCGAAAGCGUGGGGAGCAAACAGGAUUAGAUACCCUGGUAG
This 476-nucleotide ribosomal RNA is filed under the name uncultured bacterium. RNAcentral describes it as "bacterial SSU rRNA". It matches the Rfam family "Bacterial small subunit ribosomal RNA", at positions 328 to 793 of the family's 1533-position model. The record is from RNAcentral.